AGUGAACGCUGGCGGUAGGCCUAACACAUGCAAGUCGAACGGCAGCACAGUAAGAGCUUGCUCUUACGGGUGGCGAGUGGCGGACGGGUGAGGAAUACAUCGGAAUCUACUUUUUCGUGGGGGAUAACGUAGGGAAACUUACGCUAAUACCGCAUACGACCUACGGGUGAAAGCAGGGGAUCUUCGGACCUUGCGCGAUUGAAUGAGCCGAUGUCGGAUUAGCUAGUUGGCGGGGUAAAGGCCCACCAAGGCGGCGAUCCGUAGCUGGUCUGAGAGGAUGAUCGGCCACACUGGAACUGAGACACGGUCCAGACUCCUACGGGAGGCAGCAGUGGGGAAUAUUGGACAAUGGGCGCAAGCCUGAUCCAGCCAUACCGCGUGGGUGAAGAAGGCCUUCGGGUUGUAAAGCCCUUUUGUUGGGAAAGAAAAGCAGCAGGUUAAUACCCCGCUGUUCUGACGGUACCCAAAGAAUAAGCACCGGCUAACUUCGUG
This 492-nucleotide ribosomal RNA is filed under the name uncultured bacterium. Its description in RNAcentral is "partial 16S ribosomal RNA". It matches the Rfam family "Bacterial small subunit ribosomal RNA", at positions 29 to 507 of the family's 1533-position model. The record is from RNAcentral.